This 99-nucleotide ribosomal RNA is filed under the name uncultured bacterium. RNAcentral's name for it is "partial 16S ribosomal RNA". It matches the Rfam family "Bacterial small subunit ribosomal RNA", at positions 524 to 622 of the family's 1533-position model. The record is from RNAcentral.
UACGUAGAGUGCAAGCGUUGUCCGGAAUUAUUGGGCGUAAAGGGUACGCAGGCGGAUAGUAAAGUCAAGCGUGAAAGGUGUCGGCUUAACCGACAGACU